Molecule: long non-coding RNA, 1745 nt
Organism: Helianthus annuus (common sunflower)
Lineage: Eukaryota; Viridiplantae; Streptophyta; Magnoliopsida; Asterales; Asteraceae
Exons: 6
Source: RefSeq, a predicted model, not a curated record
GAUUUUAUUCAUAUUUUUUUAACUUUCUAUAUUACAGUUGGGAAUUUUGGUUUGAUUCCAGCCAUUGGUUUCAAGUGAGUUAUUGAUUAAGGUUACAUGUGGCAAGACGGGUCAAAAUAUUUUUUUAGAAUAAAAUUACUUGCAACGUUUAUGUAGGGAUACUUGAAAAUUAUAGAUUACACAAGCAAAGUUCCUGAUCGAAACUGCAAUCCUGAUUAAAAAAAAGUUUUCAAAUAGGGAUGUUCAUUGCUUUUAGCCUUUCUGUAUUAUUAUCCAUUUGGCUCAUGUUCAUGUAAAACAAACUUCAGUCGUCCCAUGGUACAACUUCAAGAUAAUGCCCCUUCUUUAGUAAAAUUCCAAAUCAUCUACAAGAUAAUACUCCAAUUGUUCAAACUUAAGUUUUGAAAGCUUUGAUGCAAAUAAUAUAAAUACUGUCAUAUUGGGUUAUCGAGACCAUCUGUUGACCAUUCUGAAACUAGGUACAAUUUGUUCCAACUGAAGUCUUGAAGGUUUUAAGAUGUAUCACAUUAAACUUCAUCACUACCCUUGGUCGGACAUGUGGGCCAUUCAAGCUUUGAUAGCUAUUCAGAACCCUCUACCACUUGAACAAUUUAUAGAAGCUACAGGUCGUCUCAAGAUCUACAUGUUAUGGUACUUUGGUCAAGUUUUUGUGUUUUAAGAUGUCAAGCAUUUCCAAGUUGAUAUGGAAUCAUACAACAUAAGAGAACCAUUAAGUCAAGAAAGGAACGAUGGGAAGUUUAGGUAACGUAUUUGGAGAACAAUUGAGCGGGUAUCACGGUGUUCGGAUUUAUGCUGGAUAGGACUUCAUUGCACACUAAGAUAACCAAGGUAAGUUGGUUUUUAGGGAUGUUUUUUGGUUGCAAUGUGUCGAAAACUCCUUUCUGCAUUUGCGGCUCCUUAUUACCCAUUCGAGUGGUCUACGUGGGUUCCGAAGAAGGUUGAUGUUCUCUGUUUGAGAGCAGAGCAAAACCGACUCUCAACUUUAGAGGGCUUGCAUUGAAGGAACCUUGUAUGGGGUUCGAUAAAGUGUCGUUUGUGUGGAGAAUAUACAGAGACGUCACACCUGUUCUCCUCAUGUUUCAUAGCAGCAAACUUAUGAAGUAAAGUAAGCUAAUGGUGUGAAAUUCCGCCAAUCUUUGCUUUCACUUUUAAAGACCUACUGCAAGCGGUAAUUCUCACCACCUGCUGGUCAUAUGGAAGGGCGAAACGGACUUAUUUUUUCACGCAGAAGAGUUAUUCUUGAGCAGCUGCUAAGCGAGAUCAAAACAAUGUCAUUCAUGUGGGUCAAAAAUCGAGCGAAGCGUAUUGAGGUAGAAUGGGACAACUGGCGAAGAUUCGAGGUUUCAAAUGUUUUGCUUUGUCCAUUUGCAGUAGGAAGUAAUGUUGUACAGCCAGUAUGCUUCAGUAUGGUACGAUAUCGGUACUGUAUUGUUGUCAAAUCAACGCCACCUGAUUUGAUGGAGGAAGCAGGGAAACUCAAGUUUGUAUGCUUAUCGAAUGAUAAUAUUGAUGAACAUAUGAUGUGAUCUUUAGUGAUGGCCGUAGCCAGAAGUUCUAGAUGGCUUAGAGAAACAGUAAAUGUUGUUUGUCGGGGGACACCUUAAUCCUUGAUAAAAGUAAAAAAAAAAAAAAUAGAAUUUUUUAUAUUUCUAUGCAUUUUAACUGUAUUUUCACUUUGUCAAUAAGUAAUUUCUGUAAUAAAUAUGUCACUUUGUUUGUAUUUA